Molecule: transfer RNA, 85 nt
Filed under: Felis catus (domestic cat)
Lineage: Eukaryota; Metazoa; Chordata; Mammalia; Carnivora; Felidae
Rfam family: tRNA
About the family: Transfer RNA (tRNA) molecules are approximately 80 nucleotides in length. Their secondary structure includes four short double-helical elements and three loops (D, anti-codon, and T loops).
Source: Rfam by way of RNAcentral
GCCUGGGUAGCUCAGUCGGUUAAGCGUCUGACUUCAGUUCAGGUCAUGAUCUCAUGGUUCAUAGGGUCAAGCCCUAUGUCGGGCU